Molecule: ribosomal RNA, 253 nt
Filed under: uncultured bacterium
Lineage: Bacteria
Description: partial 16S ribosomal RNA
Rfam family: Bacterial small subunit ribosomal RNA
Source: RNAcentral
UACGAGGGGGGCAAGCGUUGUUCGGAAUUAUUGGGCGUAAAGGGCGCGUAGGCGGCGCCACAAGUCACUUGUGAAAACUCUGGGCUCAACUCAGAGCCUGCAAGCGAAACUGUGGUGCUGGAGUAUGGGAGAGGUGCGUGGAAUUCCCGGUGUAGAGGUGAAAUGCGUAGAUAUCGGGAGGAACACCUGUGGCGAAAGCGGCGCACUGGACCAUAACGGACGAGGAGGCGCGAAAGCUAGGGGAGCAAACAGG